Molecule: ribosomal RNA, 94 nt
Filed under: uncultured bacterium
Lineage: Bacteria
Description: partial 16S ribosomal RNA
Rfam family: Bacterial small subunit ribosomal RNA
Source: RNAcentral
CCGCGUGCAGGAUGAAGGCUUUCGGGUCGUAAACUGCUUUUAUAGAGGAAGAUUAUGGCGGUACUCUAUGAAUAAGGACCGGCUAACUACGUGC